CGGAAGCGCUGGAAGCAAGAUGGCGGCCGCCGAGAGGGUUCACAAAGGGUAGGGUGGUGUGGAGCAAGGCAGGGUCCUCGCAGGCAGUGCCAAGAUUGAGCUGGGGGUGGGCAGAGUGGGCGGGGUGCGGACCCAUGGCCUUACGCAUCCUGGGCCAGGUCUCUUGUGGUGCUUCACGCUCUCGACCUGUGAGUGGUGCCUGCUAGAGCUGCCCAGAUCCCUUUUCCCUACCCCUUCUGACCCUGGACCCAGAGUGGUGGUUGCGAUCUGCUACCGUGACGUCAGCCCUCAUUCGUUCGUUCCACAAACUCCACAGCUCUGGUCCAUUAGAGGAAGGAGGUCCCAGAAUAGCUGGGAAAUUACGAGAACAGCCUCACUGCACGAGUUGGUGAAUGCUGUGGUGCGAUUGUAUGAUGGACGGUGAUGUUGAAACCAGACUGGGGAAUGACCGCCCCAUCCGGAGAGCUAAAAUAAGUUUUUCCUGGGAACGAAGACUAUG
Molecule: long non-coding RNA, 499 nt
Filed under: Pan troglodytes (chimpanzee)
Lineage: Eukaryota; Metazoa; Chordata; Mammalia; Primates; Hominidae
Description: long non-coding RNA NONPTRT000984
Source: RNAcentral